This 236-nucleotide long non-coding RNA is filed under the name Bos indicus x Bos taurus (hybrid cattle). RNAcentral's name for it is "lncRNA (ENSBIXG00000017173.1)". The record is from RNAcentral. Lineage: Eukaryota; Metazoa; Chordata; Mammalia; Artiodactyla; Bovidae.
UCAAAGUGGAAAAGCCACUGGAAGGCAGUAUGACAGAAGCCUGAUUAGGAGUCAGAGCUGUCCCACCAGCUGAAAUCCCGAACCUGCCAAGAAACCAUGCCCCUCCGACAGCACGGAGCUGUCUCCCCACUCCAGGACUCCCGCCUGUCCUUCCCUCAGUCCCCUAGGACAGCUCUUCAGAGACGUGAGUAAAUCGUUAUCUGCCUGGAGACCAUUCUGUCCCAGCGCUUCCCACA